This 1479-nucleotide ribosomal RNA is filed under the name metagenome. Its description in RNAcentral is "bacterial SSU rRNA". It matches the Rfam family "Bacterial small subunit ribosomal RNA". The record is from RNAcentral.
AGAGUUUGAUCCUGGCUCAGGAUGAACGCUAGCGGCAGGCCUAAUACAUGCAAGUCGAACGAGAUUGAGGAGCUUGCUCUUCAUGAAAGUGGCGCACGGGUGCGUAACGCGUAUGCAACCUACCUUAAUCAGGGGGAUAGCCUCUCGAAAGAGAGAUUAACACCGCAUAAAAUCACAGUCCGGCAUCGGAUAAUGAUCAAAUAUUUAUAGGAUUAAGAUGGGCAUGCGUGACAUUAGCUAGUUGGUAAGGUAGCGGCUUACCAAGGCUACGAUGUCUAGGGGAUCUGAGAGGAUGACCCCCCACACUGGUACUGAGACACGGACCAGACUCCUACGGGAGGCAGCAGUAAGGAAUAUUGGUCAAUGGGGGCAACCCUGAACCAGCCAUGCCGCGUGCAGGAAGACGGCCCUACGGGUUGUAAACUGCUUUUAUACGGGAAUAAACCUCUGCUCGUGAGCAGAGUUGAAUGUACUGUAAGAAUAAGGAUCGGCUAACUCCGUGCCAGCAGCCGCGGUAAUACGGAGGAUCCAAGCGUUAUCCGGAUUUAUUGGGUUUAAAGGGUGCGUAGGCGGCCUAUUAAGUCAGGGGUGAAAGACGGUGGCUCAACCAUCGCAGUGCCCUUGAUACUGAUGGGCUUGAUUACACUUGAGGUAGGCGGAAUGUGACAAGUAGCGGUGAAAUGCAUGGAUAUGUCACAGAACACCAAUUGCGAAGGCAGCUUACUAAGGUGUUAAUGAUGCUGAGGCACGAAAGCGUGGGGAUCAAACAGGAUUAGAUACCCUGGUAGUCCACGCUGUAAACUUUGAUCACUCGCUGUUGGCGAUACACUGUCAGCGGCUAAGCGAAAGCGUUAAGUGAUCCACCUGGGGAGUACGAUCGCAAGAUUGAAACUCAAAGGAAUUGACGGGGGCCCGCACAAGCGGUGGAGCAUGUGGUUUAAUUCGAUGAUACGCGAGGAACCUUACCAGGGCUUGAAAGUUAGCGACUAUAGGUGAAAGCUUAUAUCCCUUCGGGGCGCGAAACUAGGUGCUGCAUGGCUGUCGUCAGCUCGUGCCGUGAGGUGUUGGGUUAAGUCCCGCAACGAGCGCAACCCCUACCAUUAGUUGCCAGCAGGUUAAGCUGGGGACUCUAAUGGAACUGCCCGCGCAAGCGGUGAGGAAGGUGGGGAUGACGUCAAGUCAUCACGGCCCUUACGUCCUGGGCUACACACGUGCUACAAUGGCCAGUACAACGGGUUGCUACACAGCGAUGUGAUGCUAAUCUCUAAAGCUGGUCUCAGUUCGGAUUGAAGUCUGCAACUCGACUUCAUGAAGCUGGAAUCGCUAGUAAUCGCGUAUCAGCAAUGACGCGGUGAAUACGUUCCCGGGCCUUGUACACACCGCCCGUCAAGCCAUGGAAAUCGGGAGUGCCUAAAGUCGAUUGCCGCAAGGCGUCGCCUAAGGUAAAACCGAUAACUGGGGCUAAGUCGUAACAAGGUA